RNAcentral lists this transfer RNA (72 nucleotides) under Escherichia coli. RNAcentral describes it as "tRNA-Lys". It matches the Rfam family "tRNA". Rfam says of the family: Transfer RNA (tRNA) molecules are approximately 80 nucleotides in length. Their secondary structure includes four short double-helical elements and three loops (D, anti-codon, and T loops). Lineage: Bacteria; Pseudomonadati; Pseudomonadota; Gammaproteobacteria; Enterobacterales; Enterobacteriaceae. The record is from RNAcentral. RNAcentral also lists the same sequence under 8 other names.
GGGUGUUUAGCUCAGUGGUAGAGCGUCUAGCUUUUAACUAGAUGGUCAACAGUUCGAUCCUGUUAGCACCUG